Molecule: ribosomal RNA, 402 nt
Filed under: uncultured fungus
Lineage: Eukaryota; Fungi
Description: SSU rRNA
Rfam family: Eukaryotic small subunit ribosomal RNA
Source: RNAcentral
CGUGUGGUUCUAUUUUGUUGGUUUCUAGGACCGCCGUAAUGAUUAAUAGGGACAGUCGGGGGCAUCAGUAUUCAAUUGUCAGAGGUGAAAUUCUUGGAUUUAUUGAAGACUAACUACUGCGAAAGCAUUUGCCAAGGAUGUUUUCAUUAAUCAGGAACGAAAGUUAGGGGAUCGAAGACGAUCAGAUACCGUCGUAGUCUUAACCAUAAACUAUGCCGACUAGGGAUCGGACGAUGUUACAUUUUUGACGCGUUCGGCACCUUACGAGAAAUCAAAGUGCUUGGGCUCCAGGGGGAGUAUGGUCGCAAGGCUGAAACUUAAAGAAAUUGACGGAAGGGCACCACCAGGGGUGGAGCCUGCGGCUUAAUUUGACUCAACACGGGGAAACUCACCAGGUCCAGA